This 461-nucleotide ribosomal RNA is filed under the name uncultured bacterium. RNAcentral's name for it is "bacterial SSU rRNA". It matches the Rfam family "Bacterial small subunit ribosomal RNA", at positions 28 to 491 of the family's 1533-position model. The record is from RNAcentral.
GAUGAACGCUAGCGGCAGGCUUAACACAUGCAAGUCGAGGGGUAGUUACUUUCGGGUAAUGAGACCGGCGCACGGGUGCGUAACGCGUAUGCAAUCUACCUUUUACAGGGGAAUAGCCCAGAGAAAUUUGGAUUAAUGCCCCAUAGUAUGUAUGAAUCGCAUGGUUUAUACAUUAAAGUUCCAACGGUAAAAGAUGAGCAUGCGUCCCAUUAGCUAGUUGGUAAGGUAACGGCUUACCAAGGCGACGAUGGGUAGGGGUCCUGAGAGGGAGAUCCCCCCACACUGGUACUGAGACACGGACCAGACUCCUACGGGAGGCAGCAGUGAGGAAUAUUGGACAAUGGGCGCAAGCCUGAUCCAGCCAUGCCGCGUGCAGGAUGAAGCAUCUAUGGUGUGUAAACUGCUUUUGUACGAGAGAAACACUCAACGUGUUGGAGCUUGACGGUAUCGUAAGAAUAGGA